AGAACUCCUGCUCCGCCUCCCCGGGACUUUGACCCGCAACUGGCUCCGCCUUUCCCCCCCCCCACCCGCUCGCCCAGCCGCCCGCCUUGCCCCAAGGGGCUCCGCCCCGCCUCGUGAGCAACCGUUUCCUCCUAGUCUAAAAGGACCUCAGCGAUUGACGAGUCUGUUCUCCAAUCAUCAUGCCGAGUGACCAAUUAGGUGAUAAUAGAGGCGGGUGCCGAAGCAUGGGAUGGGGGUGACCAGGAAGUGUGAGCUGAGACUGGAGGAGGACGGAUCAAGCCCAGGCGACUGUGAGAAGGUGACCCGGUAUCUGGAUUCUCCAAUUUUCUUUUUUCCCGGGGCAAGUGUCCCUUUGCAGUUGGUAGCUAGGAUCUCCAUUUGCCCUUUCUUUGGGGGAAGGGGGUGUGUCAACUUAUUGAAGCCUUGGAGGAUCUUGAGAUUCCUUCCUCUUACUUUGCCUCGGAGCAGAUCCUUCUCUUAGCCUGAAGUGGGGACCUCUGCGGGGCCCUGUAAGGUUGGUGGUUAAAGUCCUCUGCAUUCAGGCCCAGAGAAAGGGUGAUGGUGAUCUGACAGACGCGGUUUCUCCUUCCGGAGAGUUAGACAUCUCCAGGUGCGGUCGCAGGUGGUGAAGGUGAAGGUGGAGGGGCCCUGGAAACCAGAUCAGGGAACUGGGAAUACGGUAGAUAUUGGGGGCGAAGGAACGACUGAAAAGAAACAUUUACGCGGGGCCACGGUGGUUUUCUAAGUGGGCGAACCUAGGCGAGGC
Molecule: long non-coding RNA, 766 nt
Filed under: Marmota monax (woodchuck)
Lineage: Eukaryota; Metazoa; Chordata; Mammalia; Rodentia; Sciuridae
Source: RNAcentral